UUAUUCUAAUGCAGUCUGUGCUUUAUGGGUAUUUCGAUGAAUGAUGUAUAUGAAAUUGUUCCAAAUGGUUUUAUAUGAUGCAAAAUGAAAUUCUCUGAAAUGUCAAGUAGAAGAGUCAAAGUGAAUUACAAUAGAAUGACUUCAUUGCUUGAAUAUUACAGAUUUACAAAAACUUGAUGGCUUAAUUUUAAGUGAAACUCGUGAGAAUUUAGAAAUCUUACAACUCGGUUAUGAGCCAAACAAUGGAUAGUUCUGAUAAGAAGAUGAAAUUGAGAUGAGACAAAUAGGUAGCUAAUAGUUGUGUCAGUAUAUAAUACACACUAGCUGCGGGUGCACACACAAUGCGGCGUGCAAGGAUCUAUAGUUUAUGAUGAGUGCAAGGAUCUAUAGUUUAUGAUGAGUGCAAAGCUUUGUAGUUUAUAAUGGAUAGAAACCGUCCAUGUUUGUAAAGUUUUAAAUAUCGAAACCCAUUUGAAUUUUCACAUGACCAUUCUCAAACUUACCAAUUGUUGGGGGCAUUUU
Non-coding RNA from Camellia sinensis, 522 nucleotides. Lineage: Eukaryota; Viridiplantae; Streptophyta; Magnoliopsida; Ericales; Theaceae. The record is from RefSeq and is a predicted model, not a curated record.